GACGAACGCUGGCGGCGUGCCUAAUACAUGCAAGUGGGACGCAAGGGAACACACUGUGCUUGCACACCGUGUUUUCUUGAGUCGCGAACGGGUGAGUAACGCGUAGGUAACCUGCCUAUUAGCGGGGGAUAACUAUUGGAAACGAUAGCUAAUACCGCAUAAUAUUAAUUAUUGCAUGAUAAUUGAUUGAAAGAUGCAAGCGCAUCACUAGUAGAUGGACCUGCGUUGUAUUAGCUAGUUGGUAAGGUAAGAGCUUACCAAGGCGACGAUACAUAGCCGACCUGAGAGGGUGAUCGGCCACACUGGGACUGAGACACGGCCCAGACUCCUACGGGAGGCAGCAGUAGGGAAUCUUCGGCAAUGGACGAAAGUCUGACCGAGCAACGCCGCGUGAGCGAAGA
This 401-nucleotide ribosomal RNA is filed under the name Streptococcus mutans. Its description in RNAcentral is "bacterial SSU rRNA". It matches the Rfam family "Bacterial small subunit ribosomal RNA", at positions 28 to 411 of the family's 1533-position model. Lineage: Bacteria; Bacillati; Bacillota; Bacilli; Lactobacillales; Streptococcaceae. The record is from RNAcentral.